This 253-nucleotide ribosomal RNA is filed under the name uncultured bacterium. Its description in RNAcentral is "partial 16S ribosomal RNA". It matches the Rfam family "Bacterial small subunit ribosomal RNA", at positions 524 to 776 of the family's 1533-position model. The record is from RNAcentral.
GACGAACCGUCCAAACGUUAUUCGGAAUCACUGGGCUUACAGAGUUCGUAGGCGGUCUGGAAAGUUGGGUGUGAAAUCCCUCAGCUCAACCGAGGAACUGCGCUCAAAACUACCCGACUCGAGGGAGAUAGAGGAAAGCGGAACUGAUGGUGGAGCGGUGAAAUGCGUUGAUAUCAUCAGGAACACCGGUGGCGAAGGCGGCUUUCUGGGUCUUACCUGACGCUGAGGAACGAAAGCUAGGGGAGCGAACGGG